Non-coding RNA from Myotis brandtii (Brandt's bat), 104 nucleotides. The record is from Rfam. NCBI's taxonomy places the organism in Eukaryota, Metazoa, Chordata, Mammalia, Chiroptera, Vespertilionidae.
GAGCUCGCCUGGCAGCACGUGUGCUAAGAUUGGAAGGAUACAGAGGAGGUUAGCAUGGCCCUGCGCAAGGGUGGCACCACAUGCGUGGAGCGUUCCAUAUUAAA